CAGGAACCGUACCCCAAACCGACACAGGUGGUUGGGUAGAGAAUACCAAGGCGCUUGAGAGAACUCGGGUGAAGGAACUAGGCAAAAUGGCACCGUAACUUCGGGAGAAGGUGCGCCGAUGAGGGUGAAGCAUUUACUGCGUAAGCUCACGUCGGUCGAAGAUACCAGGCCGCUGCGACUGUUUAUUAAAAACACAGCACUCUGCAAACACGAAAGUGGACGUAUAGGGUGUGACGCCUGCCCGGUGCCGGAAGGUUAAUUGAUGGGGUUAGCUAACGCGAAGCUCUUGAUCGAAGCCCCGGUAAACGGCGGCCGUAACUAUAACGGUCCUAAGGUAGCGAAAUUCCUUGUCGGGUAAGUUCCGACCUGCACGAAUGGCGUAACGAUGGCGGCGCUGUCUCCACCCGAGACUCAGUGAAAUUGAAAUCGCUGUGAAGAUGCAGUGUAUCCGCGGCUAGACGGAAAGACCCCGUGAACCUUUACUAUAGCUUUGCACUGGACUUUGAAUUUGCUUGUGUAGGAUAGGUGGGAGGCUUUGAAGCGUGAACGCCAGUUUGCGUGGAGCCAUCCUUGAAAUACCACCCUGGCAACUUUGAGGUUCUAACUCAGGUCCGUUAUCCGGAUCGAGGACAGUGUAUGGUGGGUAGUUUGACUGGGGCGGUCUCCUCCUAAAGAGUAACGGAGGAGUACGAAGGUGCGCUCAGACCGGUCGGAAAUCGGUCGUAGAGUAUAAAGGCAAAAGCGCGCUUGACUGCGAGACAGACACGUCGAGCAGGUACGAAAGUAGGUCUUAGUGAUCCGGUGGUUCUGUAUGGAAGGGCCAUCGCUCAACGGAUAAAAGGUACUCCGGGGAUAACAGGCUGAUACCGCCCAAGAGUUCAUAUCGACGGCGGUGUUUGGCACCUCGAUGUCGGCUCAUCACAUCCUGGGGCUGAAGCCGGUCCCAAGGGUAUGGCUGUUCGCCAUUUAAAGUGGUACGCGAGCUGGGUUUAGAACGUCGUGAGACAGUUCGGUCCCUAUCUGCCGUGGACGUUUGAGAUUUGAGAGGGGCUGCUCCUAGUACGAGAGGACCGGAGUGGACGAACCUCUGGUGUUCCGGUUGUCACGCCAGUGGCAUUGCCGGGUAGCUAUGUUCGGGAAAGAUAACCGCUGAAAGCAUCUAAGCGGGAAACUUGCCUCAAGAUGAGAUCUCACUGGAACCUUGAGUUCCCUAAAGGGCCGUCGAAGACUACGACGUUGAUAGGUUGGGUGUGUAAGCGCUGUGAGGCGUUGAGCUAACCAAUACUAAUUGCCCGUGAGGCUUGACCAUAUAACACCCAAGCAAUU
This 1326-nucleotide ribosomal RNA is filed under the name Pseudomonas helleri. RNAcentral's name for it is "partial 23S ribosomal RNA". It matches the Rfam family "Bacterial large subunit ribosomal RNA", at positions 1636 to 2925 of the family's 2925-position model. The record is from RNAcentral. Lineage: Bacteria; Pseudomonadati; Pseudomonadota; Gammaproteobacteria; Pseudomonadales; Pseudomonadaceae. RNAcentral also lists the same sequence under 3 other names.